GACCCCAGGUCAGGCGGGAUCACCCGCUGAGCUUAAGCAUAUCAAUAAGCGGAGGAAAAG
This 60-nucleotide ribosomal RNA is filed under the name Tribulus terrestris. RNAcentral's name for it is "partial 26S ribosomal RNA". The record is from RNAcentral. Lineage: Eukaryota; Viridiplantae; Streptophyta; Magnoliopsida; Zygophyllales; Zygophyllaceae.